Molecule: ribosomal RNA, 110 nt
Filed under: Acanthosepion pharaonis
Lineage: Eukaryota; Metazoa; Mollusca; Cephalopoda; Sepiida; Sepiidae
Source: RNAcentral
AUGCCCAUAUCACAUUGUAACACCGGUUCCCAUAUGAUCAUUGAAGUUAAGCAAUGUUGAGCCUGGUCAGUACCUAGAUGGGUGACUGCUUGGAAAUACCAGAUGCUGAA